AACUAUCUAGCAUAUUCAAAUCCUUUAUGAUAACCUAUUAAGGGUAUUAAACAUUAUUUCUGUAACAGAUAUGUAAUGCCAUUAUAUGCGACUUUAGGCUUAUGUGGGCUACUCUACAUAUUUGACAAAGGUACCAGGUAUACCCAAGCUUAAGGUAGAACUCUUGUGUGUUUUGAAACAAAGGAGAAGUGAGAUGAGUUAGCAUAGUUAUUAAUACAUGUUUUUAAGUCCACGAGAACAUAAACAAACAUGCGUACAUAUGGAUAAAUAAAUACAUGUAUUAAUAUUUGUGUUUAUCUGCCAUUGCUGGUCCCUAGCCCGGAUAAGAAAGGUGGAGAGCUGGCAUUAGGUCAAUUGCAUGUCAUAGAAAGCAUGUCAGACCAUAAAAUGGAUCCAAAGUUGAUAAUUGUAGGUCUAUGCAUGCAUUCAUACAUGUAUGUAUGCAUAUAUUUUCAUGUAUAUAUUUAUGUGUUUAUUAGAACUAGAAUCUUUUUGGUGCAACAUAUUUAAUGAUAUCUUUACCUUGGGAAUAUUAUUCAUGAUCCACAAUGUUUGAAAUGCCUAAAAAGUGAUAGGAAAAUCUUUUGAUGCUCCAAUACCCAGAAACUGAUAAAUGUUCUGGAGUUUCAAUGCCCAUUAUCAGUUGUCCAUAAGAUAGAUGGUAGAAUAAAGCUAGGUUAAGGUCAGCCAUAUAAUUUGAGAAUCCUCACCAUUUUGGAUGAAGCAUGUUAUAGAUGAUUUUAGUUGCUUCCAGACCAUUUAGGCCCUAUUUGGGAGAGCUUUUGGAGGGCCAAAAAGUACUUUCUGCCCCUCCAAAAGUACUUUUGGAUGAAAAAAGGUGUUUAGUAAAAUUUUAAAAAGCUGUUUCAGCUUUUCCAGAAAGCUAAAAAUAACUUUUGGAGAGAAGUUCCAAUUUAGAGCUUUCCGAAGAAGCUGUUUUUAGCUUUGUUGGAAAGCCAUAUUUUUGACAAAAAUACCCUCCUUUUAAAAGUGCCCUUUUUCCUCCCACGCCGCGUCUUCCUCUCCCACCCAUCCCCCUCCCUCCCCCUC
RNAcentral lists this long non-coding RNA (1050 nucleotides) under Phoenix dactylifera (date palm). RNAcentral describes it as "long non-coding RNA (PDAC_LNC014918)". Lineage: Eukaryota; Viridiplantae; Streptophyta; Magnoliopsida; Arecales; Arecaceae. The record is from RNAcentral.